Thamnophis elegans (Western terrestrial garter snake) is the source of this 1225-nucleotide long non-coding RNA. RefSeq lists it as uncharacterized. NCBI's taxonomy places the organism in Eukaryota, Metazoa, Chordata, Lepidosauria, Squamata, Natricidae. The transcript has 2 exons. The record is from RefSeq and is a predicted model, not a curated record.
CCCCACCCCUCCCCACCAUCCUUCCUCCCUCUCUCUCCACGCUUCAAACGCUCGCGGCUUCCCCCCCGAGUGGGGAAAGAAGGGAAGGGCUGAAGUGCCUUCCACCGAAAGCGCUCCCCCCGGGUGGGGACAGUGGCUAUCCCACUCCGCUUUCCUUCCCGCCGGGAUCGGGAUGCCGAGCUCGGAAGCCUCCCGGGCUCGACACUAGGGGAGGAAUCACGCUGCCCGUCCAGCAAAGGUAUCCAGGAUACAAAGCCUGAAGACGCAAAACUACCAAAAUGAAAAUGAAAAAGCAAAUGAAAGACAGUGCUAUUAAAGCUCAAUGUUCUUUUGAGACCAUUUCUUCUCUUUUCAGUCAAGAGGUACUUUUUAAAGGUAUUUGAUUGUGGCCAGCUCCAUAGGAAGCACUGCAGGAACCAUUACAUGACACUACUUAAAAGUACCUGUACAAAACCAGGAUUUAAAGUCCGGGUUGCGUUUACUUUUUUCGUGUAACUUUGCUUUGGCAGAAGAUUAAAAUAUGUUAGCAUAAAAGGUGCUUAGCUGAUAAGUACAAUAUGGUAAGAUGAUAUAAAAAUUAGAUAAUAGUUGCCAAUUAUUGGGAAGGUUGUGAAAGGAGAUUCCAAAUAGUAGGUGUUUAUGUUUAUGCAACAGGAAGGACCAUUGGCCUGAUUUUGUUUGCAUUGCACGGUUUGCCAAUCCCAUAGAUAAGCUGCAAAAUGAACCACAAGGUGUGGUAGUUAGUGUUGAUAUCUGGAUUAUGGUACUGCAUACAAGACAGCAAAGUAUGAUAUCUUAGGUUUCAUUUGUAACAUACAUGCAAAAAAUGAUUGCCAUUGACAUAAAUGGAACUAUUGAAUUAGGUUGACAUGACAAUUGGCUCUGUUUCUGGUUUGAACUGCAGCCCAAAGCUGGAGAUAUACAAUAAGCAAAUUCUAAAAGGGAUAAUAUGCAGGAUUUUACUCUUGUUGCAAUUAAUCAGCAGGCAAGACAAAUUCUACCAAAUGUAUAAUUCUUAUUUUCAAGUCUAUUCCAGCACCAAUAAGGGCUAUGAAGUAUUUUAAAUUCUCUGCUUUAUGGUAUCAGUGAAUUGUAAUCCAACACCCAUAUUUAGGAUGACAUGUUGCCUUUGUAUGGCAAGCUACAGAGAUCUGGCUGAGUGCCAUUGUGAGAUAUCUGCAACAUGCUUCACUAAUAAAAAUGCUCAAAUUUGCUUAGAUCUGAA